Molecule: long non-coding RNA, 1490 nt
Filed under: Brassica napus (rape)
Lineage: Eukaryota; Viridiplantae; Streptophyta; Magnoliopsida; Brassicales; Brassicaceae
Description: long non-coding RNA (BNAP_LNC001866)
Source: RNAcentral
UUCCAGCGAUCAUGAAGUAAAACAAAUCCAAUCUUCCUUUGUUCAAAUCUUCAGCCAACCAGUUACCGCCAGCCGAGUUCUGCGUCGUCCUGUGUACCGUUGCAAUCAAGAAGCUGCCGAGGUAACUAGAAACUCCUCCUCCCACAUAGAAGAUGGAGCCGGCGAAACUCCUCAUGUUCUCGGGGAACUGCUUGUAGUAAAACUCCAUCUGUCCAAUAGCUCCAAAUGCCUCGGCUACACCCGCGAGUGUGAGCUGCGGUAUCAGCCACAUAGCUGACAUUGAGGAGAUUUCUCCCUUCCGUGGCGCCAUACCGAGUGUUGGUUUAGUCAAUGCGAAAGUCCUCCUCCGUUCCUCGACGAAACCAGACACUACCAAGCUCAAAAAGGCGAAGAAAAUCCCGGUUCCUAUCCUUUGCAAGAGCGUGAUCCCGGUGUCUAUACCGGUGAUUCUUCUCAAGGUAGGCACGAGGACGCGGUCGUAGAUUAUGAUGAAAACAGUCAUUCCUGUCAUCAAGAAGACCACAUAGGUGGCUGCAGGGAUCACAAACCCUCCAGAGCCUAAGCGACGAUCGCUCUGGAGGGCUUGAAAGACAGGAUAGGUCAUCUGUUGCGUGAUGGUCAAGUAAUAGAUCGAUGAAGCAAACCAUAUAGGAAGCACUCUCACAAUGCACUUCACUUCUUCAACUUGUUGCAUUGUACAUAGCUUCCAUGGAUCCGUAGGCUUACCAUCAGCAUCCAACUUGUCUUCAGGAGCCAAGAUCGCCGCCUUAUCAAGAAACCUACCAAAAACAGAAAGCUUGCUUUCUAAGUAAACAAAAGUGGAAAGAUAUUAUUUAUAACCGUGUGUCUUUACCUGAACUGGUCGGUGUACUUGAGCUUAGAGUUUGCGUAGUUUAGUGGGUAGUAAUUGUAAAGGUUAACCCAAGGCUGCUUCACAGCCUUUAACCCACGUUUCUUGAUAGCAACCGUUAUAACUUGAGCUAUACUAGCCAAUGGACUACCUGAGGCUUUGAUCUUGACAUACAACUUAUCACCCGCAAAGAAGAUCAGGUCUAAAAGCUUCCAGAAGAUGAGAAACCACAUGAUCAUUAGACUUUGUUCUUGUCUUGUUGUUUGAUCACAUCUCCAUUUGUUUCAUAAGCUGUCACUUCAUCAUCACUUCCUUUGUACCUAUACCAUCUUGACAUCACCAAGAAGUAAGCAAAAUUAACCGCCAAGAUUCCAGCGAUCAUGAAGUAAAACAAAUCCAAUCUUCCUUUGUUCAAAUCUUCAGCCAACCAGUUACCGCCAGCCGAGUUCUGCGUCGUCCUGUGUACCGUUGCAAUCAAGAAGCUGCCGAGGUAACUAGAAACUCCUCCUCCCACAUAGAAGAUGGAGCCGGCGAAACUCCUCAUGUUCUCGGGGAACUGCUUGUAGUAAAACUCCAUCUGUCCAAUAGCUCCAAAUGCCUCGGCUACACCCGCGAGUGUGAGCUGCGGUAUCAGCCACAU